Molecule: ribosomal RNA, 253 nt
Filed under: uncultured bacterium
Lineage: Bacteria
Description: partial 16S ribosomal RNA
Rfam family: Bacterial small subunit ribosomal RNA
Source: RNAcentral
UACGUAGGGUGCAAACGUUGCUCGGAAUUACUGGGCGUAAAGUGUGCGCAGGCGGCGUCGCAAGUCGAGUGUGAAAGCCCCGAGCUUAACUUGGGAAUUGCGCUCGAAACUACGAUGCUGGAGUGUGGCAGAGGAAGGUGGAAUUCCACGUGUAGCGGUGAAAUGCGUAGAGAUGUGGAGGAACACCGAUGGCGAAGGCAGCCUUCUGGGCCAACACUGACGCUCAUGCACGAAAGCGUGGGGAGCAAACAGG